This is a long non-coding RNA of Cervus elaphus (red deer), 647 nucleotides long. RefSeq lists it as uncharacterized. Lineage: Eukaryota; Metazoa; Chordata; Mammalia; Artiodactyla; Cervidae. The record is from RefSeq and is a predicted model, not a curated record. The transcript is spliced from 4 exons.
CCGGCGGGGUCCGCCGCGGCCCGCGGGUCCCCGAGUCCUGACUCCUGGCGCGGGGGCCACCCGUUUGGCGGACAGAGCUGGGAACCCCGAACCGCAGGGACACGUCUAGCCUCUGACUCGAAAGGGGGAAGUGAUCAGACCUGGUUCUGCUCGGCGGGAGGUUAGCAGAGGAACAAAGGUCAGAUGCUGGGAAGGCUGGCACGGCUAUCCUACAUGUUUUUAGUAAAGAAAGCUGCCUUUGACAGUAAAGGAGAGCUGCAUCUGAGAAUCAUAGGCCCAUCCCGCUGAUAAAGCCCAGAGCCACCUGCCCACCCCUAUGAUAUCAGAGGAUCUGAACCACCAGGACUGCUGCCAAGAUGCCUCCAGGGAAAAUACCAGCAAGCAUUGCACUCCCUGUCCAACCUGAGUAACCAGAGAAAAGCAGGGGGAGACCUGAGACAGACAGAAAGCAGGAAGCAGUGUGACCACAGAGGCAGAGGCAGAAGUGAAGCCACCACAGAGCAAGGGAUGGUGACAGUCACCAGAACCUGGAAGAGGUGAAGAAGGACUUCUCCCCCAGAGCCUGCAGAGGGGUGUGGCCCUCACACUUCAAUUGCAGUCUUCUGGAAUCCGGAACUGUGAGAAAAUAAAUUCUUUUUGUUUUAAGC